AAUGAACGCUGGCGGCGUGCCUAACACAUGCAAGUCGAGCGAGAAACCCCGCUUCGGCGGGAGAGUAAAGCGGCGCACGGGUGAGUAACGCGUGGGUAAUCUACCCUUAGGUCUGGGAUAACACCCCGAAAGGAGUGCUAAUACCGGAUAUGACCGCAGCUAUUUCUGUGGCAGCGGUAAAAGGUGGCCUCUCCAUGGAAGCUAUCGCUUGAGGAUGAGCCCGCGUCCUAUCAGCUUGUUGGUAGGGUAAUGGCCUACCAAGGCUAAGACGGGUAGCUGGUCUGAGAGGACGACCAGCCACACUGGGACUGAGAUACGGCCCAGACUCCUACGGGUGGCUG
This 341-nucleotide ribosomal RNA is filed under the name uncultured Chloroflexota bacterium. RNAcentral's name for it is "bacterial SSU rRNA". It matches the Rfam family "Bacterial small subunit ribosomal RNA", at positions 29 to 351 of the family's 1533-position model. Lineage: Bacteria; Bacillati; Chloroflexota. The record is from RNAcentral.